Long non-coding RNA from Oncorhynchus keta (chum salmon), 750 nucleotides. RefSeq lists it as uncharacterized. The record is from RefSeq and is a predicted model, not a curated record. The transcript has 5 exons. Lineage: Eukaryota; Metazoa; Chordata; Actinopteri; Salmoniformes; Salmonidae.
UAUAAAUGCUUAGUCAUGGCUGGUUCCACCACAACUGACUCAAUGUGUCGAACCAACACAUAUUUAGUGGAUGAGGUGGCCAACUAGUCAGAAUCCUCUGUGUUCUCCUACGAGUACCAAGAACAGUUGGUUCUUAGAAUAGAGGAUGAGGUGGCCAACUAGUCAGAAUCCUCUGUGUUCUCCUACGAGAACCAAGAACAGUUGGUUCUUAGAAUAGAGGAUGAGGUGGCCAACUAGUCAGAAUCCUCUGUGUUCUCCUACGAGAACCAAGAACAGUUGGUUCUUAGAAUAGAGGAUGAGGUGGCCAACUAGUCAGAAUCCUCUGUGUUCUCCUACGAGAACCAAGAACAGUUGGUUCUUAGAAUAGAGGAUGAGGUGGCCAACUAGUCAGAAUCCUCUGUGUUCUCCUACGAGAACCAAGAACAGUUGGUUCUUAGAAUAGAGGAUGAGGUGGCCAACUAGUCAGAAUCCUCUGUGUUCUCCUACGAGAACCAAGAACAGUUGGUUCUUAGAAUAGAGGAUGAGGUGGCCAACUAGUCAGAAUCCUCUGUGUUCUCCUACGAGAACCAAGAACAGUUGGUUCUUAGAAUAGAGGAUGAGGUGGCCAACUAGUCAGAAUCCUCUGUGUUCUCCUACGAGAACCAAGAACAGUUGGUUCUUAGAAUAGAGGAUGAGGUGGCCAACUAGUCAGAAUCCUCUGUGUUCUCCUACGAGAACCAAGAACAGUUGGUUCUUAGAAUAGAGGAUGAG